Molecule: ribosomal RNA, 774 nt
Filed under: uncultured Neocallimastigales
Lineage: Eukaryota; Fungi; Neocallimastigomycota; Neocallimastigomycetes; Neocallimastigales
Description: partial large subunit ribosomal RNA
Rfam family: Eukaryotic large subunit ribosomal RNA
Source: RNAcentral
UACUAGAGUAGCACUCGCAUAUCAAUAAGCGGAGGAAAAGAAACUAACAAGGAUUCCCCUAGUAACGGCGAGUGAAGCGGGAAGAGCUCAAAUUUGAAAUCUUAAAGGGUUUCCCUUUACGAAUUGUAGUUUAAAGAAGUGUUUUCUGUUGAGGUUUUGGUAAAAGUUCUUUGGAAUAGGACAUCAUAGAGGGUGAGAAUCCCGUAUUUGACCUUUACUUUCAACUUUGUGAUACACUUUCAAAGAGUCGGAUUGUUUGGGAAUGCAGUCCAAAAUGGGUGGUAAAUUUCAUCUAAAGCUAAAUAUUGGCGAGAGACCGAUAGCGAACAAGUACCGUGAGGGAAAGAUGAAAAGAACUUUGAAAAGAGAGUUAAACAGUACGUGAAAUUGUCAAAGGGGAAGCGUUUGACACCAGUGUUGUUUUUCUGAAAAUCAAUUAAAGAACUGUUUAUGCUAAGCUGUUUAGACUUUAUCAGCUAUCUGUUUAGUUUUAGGCUUUUCUUUAAUGCACUUUUCAGUUAACAAGUCAACAUCAAUUUCUUUUGCUGUAAAAAAGCUUGAGGAAGGUGGCUUGAGAUUCGUCUUAAGUGUUUAUAGCCUCUUGCCUAUGCAGUCGGAGAGAUUGAGGUCUGCAGCGUAGAUCCUUCGGGGCUAAAUGCAUUUGUGCUAAGUUAUAGCAUUUUAUAGACAACUUGUUGACUAUGAUUUGUCUUGUAGCUUACUCGCUUAUGUUAUUUUACCUACGCUUAGGAUGUUGAGCGCAUGUCUCUCUCU